This 115-nucleotide ribosomal RNA is filed under the name Rickettsiaceae bacterium. The record is from RNAcentral. Lineage: Bacteria; Pseudomonadati; Pseudomonadota; Alphaproteobacteria; Rickettsiales; Rickettsiaceae.
CCUGGUGGUUAUAGCGUAGGUGAAACACACGAUCCCAUCCCGAACUCGAACGUGAAACCCUAUAGCGCUGAUGGUACUUUGUCUUAUGACACGGGAGAGUAAGUCGUUGCCAGGC